GGUGAGUAACGCGUGGGAACAUACCCUUUGGUUCGGAAUAACUGAGGGAAAUUUCAGCUAAUACCGGAUGUGCCCUUCGGGGGAAAGAUUUAUCGCCAAAGGAUUGGCCCGCGUCUGAUUAGCUAGUUGGUGAGGUAACGGCUCACCAAGGCGACGAUCAGUAGCUGGUCUGAAAGGAUGAUCACCCACACUGGGACUGAAACACGGCCCACACUCCUACGGGAGGCAGCAGUGGGGAAUAUUGGACAAUGGGGGCCACCCUGAU
This 265-nucleotide ribosomal RNA is filed under the name Pleomorphomonas sp. ERR 344. Its description in RNAcentral is "partial 16S ribosomal RNA". It matches the Rfam family "Bacterial small subunit ribosomal RNA", at positions 105 to 387 of the family's 1533-position model. The record is from RNAcentral. Lineage: Bacteria; Pseudomonadati; Pseudomonadota; Alphaproteobacteria; Hyphomicrobiales; Pleomorphomonadaceae.